AUUGAACGCUGGCGGCAGGCCUAACACAUGCAAGUCGAGCGGAGCGGCGGACGGGUGAGUAAUGCCUAUGACUCUGCAUGGUAGUGGGGGAUAACGUCCGGAACCGGGCGCUAAUACCGCAUACUAUCAGAUGAGCCUAGGCCGGAGUAGCUAGUUGGUGGGGUAAGGGCCUACCAAGGCGACGAUCCGUAACUGGUCUGAGAGGAUGAUCAGCAACACUGGAACUGAGACACGGUCCAGACUCCUACGGGAGGCAGCAGUGGGGAAUAUUGGACAAUGGGCGCAAGCCUGAUCCAGCCAUGCCGCGUGUGUGAAGAAGUUCUUCGGAUUGUAAAGCACUUUAAGUUGGGAGGCGUUACCAACAGAAUAAGCACCGGCUAACUUCGUGCCAGCAGCCGCGGUAAUUC
RNAcentral lists this ribosomal RNA (407 nucleotides) under uncultured bacterium. RNAcentral describes it as "partial 16S ribosomal RNA". It matches the Rfam family "Bacterial small subunit ribosomal RNA", at positions 30 to 526 of the family's 1533-position model. The record is from RNAcentral.